RNAcentral lists this ribosomal RNA (456 nucleotides) under Triticum aestivum (bread wheat). Its description in RNAcentral is "partial small subunit ribosomal RNA". Lineage: Eukaryota; Viridiplantae; Streptophyta; Magnoliopsida; Poales; Poaceae. The record is from RNAcentral.
AUGUGCUCGUUUUGUACGGAGGUGGAAACUGCUAAUCAUCUAUUCUUCACUUGUUCACUCGCCCGCACGGUCUGGGGCGCGCUGGGGCUGACUGUCGGGAUCUCUUGUGCCCCUAGGUCUAUUUGGCAGUGCUUUGCUUGGCUGUAUAAGUUUUUCCCAGGAGGGAAGAAGUUUUAUAUGAUGAUUAUUGCAGCCGUGUGUUGGGCAAUUUGGUGCCUCCGCAACAAAACUACUUUUGACAAGUAUAAUGCCCGUACUCCUUUGGAGGCUGUCUUUACUGCUUGUUCUUUUAUGUUAUACUGGGCAGGAUUGCUUAAGGAGGAAGACAAGAUGAGAUUCCAAGUGGGGGUGAAGAGGCUGGCUAAUGUGGCGGCUGCCCUGGCGGACAGAUCAUAUGCUCGCGGCAGGCUGCUCCUGGGAGAUGGGGAUGGUAUUCAGAUUGGGGAGCUGUCUUGA